Xiphophorus hellerii (green swordtail) is the source of this 1011-nucleotide long non-coding RNA. RefSeq lists it as uncharacterized. The record is from RefSeq and is a predicted model, not a curated record. The transcript has 2 exons. NCBI's taxonomy places the organism in Eukaryota, Metazoa, Chordata, Actinopteri, Cyprinodontiformes, Poeciliidae.
GUCAGCAUAAUUAGCUGAACAGCCAUUGGUAGGUUCAGUUGUACCUUCUGUAACAUUUAAAGAUGAUGGUUUGACCGGUGCUUGGUGAGAUGUUCAAAACAAAAAUGUUUUCAUAACCUGCGGCCGUAAUUUAAAUGGGCAGCAUUAUGUAUUUUCCUCACACACUGUACAAUUUUAUAACACAAACAACCAACUGUUACCUUCAGUUAUUAUAAAAAUGCUAUAAAUAGAAAAUUUGCGCUAAAAGAAAUUCGAUUUUGUUAUUUAAUGCCUGGAAAUUGGACCUCUGUCUCUUUAAGAAACUCUUGCACUUUCCGAAACUCCGCCUUCAGAAAGUCAUGACUGCGUCGCUCCUCUAUUAACCCUUUAGCCACACUUUCACCAGCGUUUCACUGAGGAGUAGUUUGCGUAAAGAGCUCAGCGGGUUCCAGGAGGCGUUUGCUAAAUGGCUGCUCUGUGAGGUGGGAGCUUGGAAAUCUCAGCUCAGAGGAGAAGAGAUGAAAGGAUUUCCCAAACACGCAUAAAAGAAUCACAGCGACACUCCAGUGCGCGUCUCUUGGGAGCAAAGUUGUGCAUCAGGAUGGGAUGUGUAAAGUGUAUAUCAAAGCAUCUGCUCAUCCCUUGGGGAAUAGAUUUCAAUGUUCUGAGUGUGAAGUUAGUAGUCUGAUCAUUUUUAAUCAGAUUAAUCAGAAAGUUGGUCAUACCUCCAGUCUCACUUUCAGUUUCAAUAAUCUGGCAUCUUUAUUUCUGUGCAUAGGGCAGAACAUUGACUAAGAUCAAGUAAUGUUAUUAUUUGUGUUAUUAUUGCUGCCAUAUUCAAUAAAUUGUCCUUUGAAAAUCGACAACCUUUAAUUAGAUAUUAAGCAUACUUUUCAUGAAGGCUGCAUUUCUGUAUUUUUUUUUUUUUUUGGUGUGAUGUAAUAUUCUAUUUUUAAAUGUCAUGUUUUUAUUAUCUAUCAGAGGAAAAAUCUGACAGAUAAUCAUUCAAAGAAAUAAAGUCCUUCAAACAUC